AGUGAACGCUGGCGGUAGGCCUAACACAUGCAAGUCGAACGGCAGCACAGUAAGAGCUUGCUCUUACGGGUGGCGAGUGGCGGACGGGUGAGGAAUACAUCGGAAUCUACUUUUUCGUGGGGGAUAACGUAGGGAAACUUACGCUAAUACCGCAUACGACCUACGGGUGAAAGCAGGGGAUCUUCGGACCUUGCGCGAUUGAAUGAGCCGAUGUCGGAUUAGCUAGUUGGCGGGGUAAAGGCCCACCAAGGCGACGAUCCGUAGCUGGUCUGAGAGGAUGUACAGCCACACGGGAACUGAGACACGGUCCAGACUCCUACGGGAGGCAGCAGUGGCGAAUAUUGGACAAUGGGCGGAAGCCUGAUCCAGCCAUACCGCGUGGGUGAAGAAGGCCUUCGGGUUGUAAAACCCUUUUGUUGGGAAAGAAAAGCAGCAGGUUAAUACCCCGCUGUUCUGACGGUACCCAAAGAAUAAGCACCGGCUAACUUCGUG
RNAcentral lists this ribosomal RNA (492 nucleotides) under uncultured bacterium. RNAcentral's name for it is "partial 16S ribosomal RNA". It matches the Rfam family "Bacterial small subunit ribosomal RNA", at positions 29 to 507 of the family's 1533-position model. The record is from RNAcentral.